RNAcentral lists this unclassified non-coding RNA (3706 nucleotides) under Leishmania donovani. Its description in RNAcentral is "gene:LdHU3.27.2970(CDS-product:D-lactate_dehydrog enase-like_protein)". The record is from RNAcentral. Lineage: Eukaryota; Euglenozoa; Kinetoplastea; Trypanosomatida; Trypanosomatidae.
CUGCUCAUGCAUACACACCAAUCACACGCGCCAACCCCACUUCCUGUUUUCAUAGAGGAGAGCGCCCUCCCCACACGCUGCUGUUGCACGCAUCAUAUUUCUCGAGCUCGUAACAGUUCUUUCGCAGUUUAUCGCUUGACAUAUUUUGCUGAAAGACGCCGUGGCUGUGCGCACUGGCAGCUCGUCGUACAGAGCCGUUGAUCCCCUCAUUUCUCUCCCCUUCCUAUCCACCUGCGGUGCAUCACCAUGACGUACCCACUGAAACAGGCGGAGUACAAUGUGGGCACCUUGGAGGAGCGGCAGGCGAAGUAUGCGACGUGCAUCGCGGAGCUUCGCAAGGUGCUGAAGAACCCUGAAAAGCAACUGGUGGUGAGCGAGAAGAUGCUUGAUUUGUACAGCAAGGAUGAGUCGCACCACAUGCAUGUGCUUCCUGCCGCUGCGGUAAUCCCGAGCUCUGUGGAGGAGGUGGUGGCAGUGGUGAAAGUGUGCGCGGCGCACAAGGUGCCCAUGACGCCCCGCGGCGCUGGCACUGGUGUGGAGGGUGGCGUCAUCCCUUACGCUGGCGGCGUCGUCAUUGACACGGUGGGACUCACCAGCAUGAACUUCGACAUCGACAACGCGUGUGUAUGGGUUGGCGCUGGCGUGAGGAAGCUGGCACUGAACCGCGCAGCGAGCGAGAGGGGCUUCCUGUUCGGGCCUGACCCCGCGUCGGACCCGUCCGUUGGCGGGAUGGUGUCGACGUCCGGGAGCGGGAUGUCAACGCUGCGCUACGGGACGACGCGCGAGAACGUGAUCGCGCUACGCGUUGUGACGCCGCGCGGAGACGUUGUGCAGACGCGGCAGGCUGUGCGGAAGUCGUCCUCUGGGCUGGAGCUGACGCAGCUGUACAUCGGCAGUGAGGGCACGCUUGGGAUCGUGUGCGAGGUUUGCUUCCGGCUGUUCCCCGCGACGAAGUACUCCGCUGGCGGCUACGCCGCCUUCGAGUCUACAGGUGAUGCUGUGCGCUCCGUCGUCGCGCUGCGGCAGCGCGGUGUGCCGCAGACGCUGCUGCGGUGCGAACUGAUGAACAAAGGGAUCGUUGAGGCGACGAACAGCUACUGCAAGACGGCGCUGCCCGAGAUGGCGAUUGUGCUGCUGGAGUUCACCGGCAAUGACCAAGGGAUGAGUGACAUCAAGCGCGACUACCAGUACGUGGAGAAGAUCUUCAAGGAGGUGGGAAAGGCAAAGGUGAUGCACUACUUGCGGUCUGGUAAGGAGAUGGACGACGUGUGGACCGCGCGCCGUUCCUGCUACUUCUCUGCCAUGCACAGCCGCGGCAAGGCGGAGAAAGUGUUUGGAACGGAUGUAUGCGUACCGAUUUCGAAGCUGACGGAGAUAAUCGAGUACACAGAGGCUGAGUUUGCGAAGGCGAACAAGAAGUGCUUAAUCUGCGCACACAUCAGCGACGGCAACUUCCACCUGGGCGUCCCCUUCUCUAACAAGCAGGAGAUAGCGGAGCUGCGGGUGUUGGAGACAAAAAUGAUCAAGCGUGCCAUCGAGCUUGGCGGCACAACUUCUGGUGAGCACGGCAUCGGUGUGGGCAAGGUGCACCUCGUCACAGGCGAGCACGGCCAGUCGCACAUCGAUGUACAGGAGGCGAUCAAGGUUGCAUUGGACAGGGACAAUCUGAUGAACCCCGGUGCAUUCUACCCGUUCCAGCAGCGUCUGUACCCGACGGCACACCUGUAAGAGCUGCUGACGGCAGCGCUCUCGCGUGUCCAUGUGUGUGCUGGUGGUGCUGCUCCUUUUCCGCAGAUUAGGGGCGACCGCCAGAGUCGUAGUAGCACCGACUCUUUUCUUUGUGGGCUUUUUGGCUGUGCCUUUCAUUUGCGGUUGUCGCUGGAAAGCUGUGUUGUUGCACGCUGCGGCUGCGGCUGCUCUCUGCGUGCCCUCCUUUUACGCUCGUCUGGUUGGGGGAGGGGGACGGGCGUGUUUGCGUUUUGCGGUUCUCUUUGAAGGCGCCUGCUGCUCCAGAAGGCCCGCCUUCCUCUUCUUGCGUCUGCGCGUGCGUGCGUGUCUUUUCACCCUUCUGUUUCUUCUUUUUGUUUUGAGGCAAAUAAUGUCCAUCGUCGUUAUGGCCGCCCAUCUCUCUCUCUCACGCACACUCUGUCUCCUGCGUAGCCCCACCCUUCUGUCUCUUCCACCGUUGGCGUUGGCCCUUCUCUGUCCCUCUCGCUGUUGCUUUCGCGUUGUCCCCCACCCCCUUGUUCUCCGUGUGCACCUCCGCGUGUAUCUCUCUCGAGCUCUCUGCCGAUGUUGUUUGUGUGUCUGAGCGAGUGUGUGCGGCUGCGUACGUUCGCGUGCACGUGCUGUCGUGCGCGCGAGCUCCAGGACGUGGCUGCUUCUCCUCCGUCCCUCUCUCGCUGUAUGCGCUGUAUUGCGUCAGAUGCAAAUGGCAUCUGCAGGGCAACAGCGAACGGGGAUGGGGGAGAACAGCGACCCCCCAACACCACGUCCUUUGAGAUGCCCAUGCGCGCAGUGGGCGUGGGGGCCUUGAGCCAUUGCUAACCGUUGCAGUCGCGAGGCCAGACAGGCGCACACACUCACACGAAUGCACGCUCAUGUGCACCAGCGGGCGGACAGUCGGGGAGGGGGUGGUGGUGGCUGCGCCCGUUGUUGACGACUUCAACGUUGCUGCACAACCGCUUACCAGCAUGUUUGACGUUCGGCGCAGCACGGCGCACUUUUCGCUUGCUAUUUUUCUCCCCUUUGAAAAUGCCGAUGUGAAGGAAUGCGAGGGAGGGAUGCCAUCCAGGCAGGGCGGACAGACGCGCCGUCAACGGAGGGUUGCGGCUCCAGAGGCGCCUUGGCGGGGGGAGUGAAAUAGCUCGGGAAGCCAGAGAUAGAGGGAGAGACAGCGCGCGCAGAUGGCUGCAUGACGGCAUACGUGCACGUGUGUUUGUUUCUGCAGUCAGCGGAGGCUGUUUGCAUAGGAGGAAAGCCCAAGACAUGCAUUGCAUGCAUGUAAGUAUGCGUGUAUCUGUGCGUGCGUUUUUCUCUACAGGCAGAUAGCCAAUCGUGCGUUAAACAAGAGUAAGAAGGCGAGAGGCGCUACCCCUGUGAAGCCAAGAGGAUGACGAACUGCCGGCACACCACCGCACAGCUUCGAGGCGAAGAAGGAGAAGGAGUAGUCGUGAGCUCUGUGUGGCUCUGCUUCGCCUUUCUUUAUGCUUGCAUAAGGCUUCCGAUCAUGCGUACGGCUCCCCUUGCACACUUGCGGAAGGAGUGCUGCUUUCGUGUAGCGUGGGAAGUGGGAGGGCAGGCAGAGUAAGGGGGGGAGCACGUGAUAGGAUGGGGAGGUCGGCACAGGGUGCCCUCCCCUCUCCCCUGGAGACUGCAUACGCACACACACACACACACAGAGACGCCGUCAAACCCACAUUAUACCAGUGCGCGUGCUGCUCGACACUCCAGCGGCAAACACAUCCGCUCCCGUUCCUCCCCACACAAUGGUGCACGGACAACGAUGCGCAUGCUCUCGUGGCUCAUGGCAAGUGGAGUAGGUAACGCUUAUCUUCCGUGCUCUUUGGCUUUCUUGCUUUUGCCGUGCGGGGGGGCUACUAGUGCUGCGGACGCUGACGGCGCUGGCGAUGCCGUGCACGCGGUGCAGCAAGUAUAUUCGUUCCUUUCACUAAGUUUCAUUCUGCCAUCUCUUUUUGUUCCUCAG